RNAcentral lists this ribosomal RNA (498 nucleotides) under uncultured bacterium. RNAcentral describes it as "partial 16S ribosomal RNA". It matches the Rfam family "Bacterial small subunit ribosomal RNA", at positions 30 to 523 of the family's 1533-position model. The record is from RNAcentral.
AUUGAACGCUGGCGGUAUGCUUUACACAUGCAAGUCGAACGGCAGCGCGGGGCAACCUGGCGGCGAGUGGCGAACGGGUGAGUAAUAUAUCGGAACAUACCCAAGAGUGGGGGAUAACGUAGCGAAAGUUACGCUAAUAUCGCAUACGAUCUAUGGAUGAAAGCAGGGGAUCUUCGGACUUUGUGCUCCUGGAGCGGGCGAUAUCUGAUUAGCUAGUUGGUGAGGUAAAGGCUCACCAAGGCGACGAUCAGUAGCUGGUCUGAGAGGACGACCAGCCACACUGGAACUGAGACACGGUCCAGACUCCUACGGGAGGCAGCAGUGGGGAAGUUUGAACAAUGGGCGCAAGCCUGAUCCAGCAAUGCCGCGUGAGUGAAGAAGGCCUUCGGGUUGUAAAGCUCUUUUGUCAGGGAAGAAACGGCUGAGGCUAAUAUCCUCGGCUAAUGACGGUACCUGAAGAAUAAGCACCGGCUAACUACGUGCCAGCAGCCGCCGUAA